CUUCAUGAAUGUCAUAUUCUUUGAAACUCAAGACAACUCUGUGAUUUUGGUACUGUUGUUUUAUCAGCACUGUUUUAUGCACAAGAAACCUAAAUUUAAGCCUCAAAGAAAUUAAACACAUUAAAUGAUCAAAUAAAUCACAAGUGCCAGAAAUGCGAUUCAAACUCAUGUCUUUUGACUCCAAGGCUAACAUACUUUCCUUCAUGGUAUGUACCCUUUAGAAAUCCAUUAUAUGAUGAUAGUCCAUUUCAAUGAGAUGCUGAAUCCAUCUGGAAACUAUAUUUCAGAAAAUUUAUUUUUUCUCAUCUUGAUUUCCCCAAAAUUGAUUUCUAGGUCCAUUACUUUUGAUUCUUUGUAGAUAUCUGAAGAAACCUGGUCUUUUUUCAGAGCAUUGUAAUCCUAACAAUGUUGUCUACAAACUGUAGAACAUCUUAAAAGGAAACUCUUUCACUGGUACUUCUUACACCUUGUCCAUGACACUGAAUCACAUGUUAUGCCAGGUGAUGGUGUUGCAAAUACAAAAGUAAGGCAGCUCCUGACCUCAGAUCCCCUGACUUCAGUGACUUCUGCUGGUCCGGAAUCUCACCUGUCAUGCUGGCACAUUAAGAAACAUGACUCUGUGACUCCCAAGGCUCCUUAUUAUGGUGAGUUUUCUGGGAUUGGACUGAAUUGGAGAUCCCCCAGAUAUUUAGUUCACAAAGUGGCCUCUUUGGCUUUGAUCAUUGUAAGCACGUUAAGGUGAGAC
Molecule: long non-coding RNA, 745 nt
Filed under: Monodelphis domestica (gray short-tailed opossum)
Lineage: Eukaryota; Metazoa; Chordata; Mammalia; Didelphimorphia; Didelphidae
Description: lncRNA (ENSMODG00000043189.1)
Source: RNAcentral